This 253-nucleotide ribosomal RNA is filed under the name uncultured bacterium. RNAcentral's name for it is "partial 16S ribosomal RNA". It matches the Rfam family "Bacterial small subunit ribosomal RNA", at positions 524 to 776 of the family's 1533-position model. The record is from RNAcentral.
UACGUAGGGUGCAAGCGUUGUCCGGAAUUAUUGGGCGUAAAGAGCUCGUAGGCGGUCUGUUGCGUCGGCUGUGAAAACCCGGGGCUCAACCUCGGGCCUGCAGCCGAUACGGGCAGACUAGAGUUCGGCAGGGGAGACUGGAAUUCCUGGUGUAGCGGUGAAAUGCGCAGAUAUCAGGAGGAACACCGGUGGCGAAGGCGGGUCUCUGGGCCGAUACUGACGCUGAGGAGCGAAAGCGUGGGGAGCGAACAGG